UGGGAUGAGCCGAGAUGGCGCCACUGCA
This 28-nucleotide non-coding RNA is filed under the name Homo sapiens (human). The record is from RNAcentral. Lineage: Eukaryota; Metazoa; Chordata; Mammalia; Primates; Hominidae.